GUUUUUAUAUAUUUUUCUCUCAGGUAGGAGGAAGGCUCAAUAUAAGAUUGACUGGAAGAAAGCAGCAUUAUACCCUGAUUGGAGGAAAGAAGAGUUCCAGGCUGGUGAGUCUAUGAUGAUGUAGCAGGGAUCCUGUUCUUUGUGUGUAGUCCCGCACAAAGAUGGAUAGAGGUUAGCAGAAUCCACCUAGGGCCAGAGAAGCUCUCACAGACUACAGUUUCUCUGGUCCAGGAAUAUUGAGAUUUUCCUUAGUUAGAUCAUGAUGAUUCUCUUGUCAUUGCAGUAAACGUGACCCUGGAUGCAGACACUGCCCAUCCUGCCCUCUUCCUGUCUGAACAGAGACGUGUAACCUGGCAAGAAGUGUGGCAAGAUCUCCCUGACUCCCCACAGAGAUUCGAUUCCCUUCCCUGUGUGCUGGGUCAGCUGAGUAUCACCUCUGGGAGAUACUACUGGGAGGUAGAUAUUGGGGACACAGUUUCUUAUGAUCUGGGAAUUUGUAAGGACAAUGUAACUAGGAAGGGGCAAGUCACAAUAUCCCCACAAAAUGGUUUCUGGGCCAUCAGGCUUUAUGAGGGGGAGUACUGGGCUCUCACUUCCCCAGAAACUCAUCUUACUCUGAGACAGAACCCCCGUAGGGUGGGGAUAUUCCUGGAUUAUGAAGAUGGAGAUGUGUCAUUCUAUAACAUGACAGACGAAUUUCAUAUUAUCAGCUUUACUCAGGAGAAAUUCCAAGGUGUGUUAAGACCUUUCUUCAGGCUUUGGAAGUCUGACUCAGGUACCUUGACCAUUGUCCACUGAAGGAGAACAAUGUGAUGCUGUAAUUCAGAAGUGUACCCUUAUCGCAAAAUGAUGUCGUUAAGUCCUAAUGUUGAUUUCAAUUCUAGCUAACUAUCCAGAAAUUGUUUUGCAGCUUCUUAUGGAUUCAUUGUCAAAAUGAAGUUGUGGGGUACAGAUUUCUUAUCAUGCUUUAUGCUCACUUUUCUUCAUUAUUAAUAGACCUCCUGACCUAUGACAGCCUGGUUUAAAGAUUAGAGUCCCUAGCACCUUCUGCAUGUGACUAGAUGCUGGCCAGUAUAAUAUAUGUUGAAUUGUGCAAUGUAACUUCUGAGAUUUGUCUUUAAAUAUAAAUUAUAUGUCCUUCAUUAUUUGUUGUUCAAUUUUUCUGUUGGAUAGAUAUGACAUUAUUGAUGUAACUUGAAGAACAUUUUGAAUAUGUAAUAAGACAUGGAUAGCACGGAAGACAUUAUGAGUUGAAAUUUUUGAUGAAUUAUUUUAACUACUCUUUUUUAACUCCAGAAUUCUUUCCUUUGGAAAAUAAACCUUUAUAUCAUUAAGCCACUUGUAUGUUUUUGUGUGUCUUAUUAUGAGAUCUAAUUCUAACUGAUGUGCACUUCUUUUCAGGAUGCCAGCAGACAUCCACAGUUGAAUAUUCACGUGAAAAAGAAGGUUUAACAUCCUGACUUGCAUAUUUAGCUCUUUCUACUCAUCUAGUGCUUCAGUCCCACUGGACUCUCAUUUUUUUCCUGGUCUAUCAGUUUCUUCUGACUUCAGUUCCCAUUCUUUCCUACUUAAAUAGGAAUUAUUAAUAACUUCAAUAUUCCCUUACUAAUAGAUGAAAACCCUGCCCUCAUUGUCCUUCCCUGACAUCUUCUUAGCAAGACCCCCAAAAUGGAUGAUUCUAUCUAUUGCUCAUACUAGCAGCUUAGCAUGGUAUAAAAAUUCAUACAAAUGAGCACAGUGGUACCUUAUAUACUUACUGUACCUUUUUUUUUUUAAAAAAAGAUUUAUUUAUUUUAUUUUAAGGCAAAGUUACAGAGAAGAGGAUGCAGAAAGAGAGAGAAAAGUCUUCCACUCACUGGUUCACCUCACAGGUAGAUGCAAUGGUCAGAGCUUUGCCAAUCUGAAGCCAGGAGCCAGGGGCUUCCUACAGGUCUCCCAUGCAGGUGCAGUGGCCCAAGGAUAUAGUAUUCUGUAGAGUACAAAGGGAGAAAGAGAAAGAGAGAGAGAUAUCUUCCAGUCAUUGGUUCUCUCUCCAAAUGGUCCUAACUGCUGGGGCUGGGCCAGGCUAAAAACAGGACCAGGAGCCAGGAGCUUAAUUCAGGUCUCCCACAUAGAUGCAGUGGCCUAGGCAUUUUGACCAUCCUCUGCAGUUUUGCCAGGUGCAUUAGCAGGGAGUCAGAUUGGAAGUGGAAUUAGUAUUUCAGGUUCUUUUUCUGCUGUACCAUAUUUUUGACGUAAUUUUUCUCUAAAUACAUUAUUUUUCUCAUAUAUUUCCUUCCAGUUACUUUCAUGUAUCCAUAACUAAAUCUGAAGCAAAUAUAAUACAAAGACAUAUUUUAAAAUAUCUAUUUUUUUAAAAAAAGAUUUAUUUUUUUAUUUGAAAGUCAGAGUUGCACAUAGAGAGAAGGAGAGGCAGAGAGAGAGAGAGAGAGGUCUUCCAUCCUCUGGUUCACUCUCCAGUUGUCUACAAUGGCUGAAGCCAGGAGCCAGGAGCUUCUUCCAGGUCUCCCACAUGGGUGCAGGGACCCAAGGAUUUGGGCCAUCUUUUACUGCUUCCUCAGGCCAUAGAAGAGAGCUGCAAUGGAAGUAGAGCAGCUGAGACUCAAACCAGUGGCCAUAUGGGAUGCUGGCACUGCAAGUGGUGGCUUUACCCACUAUGCCAGUGCGGCCUCAAAAUAUAUUUCUUUUAAUGGUUGCUCUCCUGAUUGUUUUCUGAAGGUUGCUCUCUUGAUAGUGUAAAGUUUAUCAUCUUAAGGUGAUCUUUCCCUAAGUCACUUUAUUCAGUAAAGAAAUUGUACUAUUCUUUUGACCUAAAAGGGCAUUUUAAAAUUUCAUUUCUUAUGUCAGAGUGGUCUAGAAAAGUAGUUGGCAUACUUUUUCUUCCAAUGAGCCAGAUCAUAACUUUUGUGACCAUGUGAUUUUAAUUAUUAUUAUUGUUUUUGAGUGUGAAGUAGUUUAUUUGGGACACAAUCCAGGAAAGAGUGGCUGGGACAUAAGGAAUGAAAUAUGAAAGAAAGAUAUCACAGCUACCACUGUGGGGGACUAGCACAUCAUGUGACUGAGAAAUGUUGGAAAUAUAGAACAGGCAAUUCAGAUAUCCCACCCCCCACAAAAAGUUGUUGGCUAAGGCCUGACUAGAAACACUCAUUCAGUAACACUUUUAGCCUACCUUGGGUAUAAACAAAGGGCUUCAGGUAUCUAAGAAAACAUUUCUGCAAAAAAAAAAAAAACAAAAAAAAACACAUCUGUUGAUGGUUAGAAAGAAGACAGGAAAUGAACUACAAAAAGAGGUUUCAGAGUUGGUUGACUGUAUGGUCUCUGUUUACCUUUGAAGCAUAAGAGUAGUAAUACGAAAUAUGUGAAUGAUUUUGUAUGGCUCUGUUCCAACAAAAUUGUUUUUAAAAAAACAAAUGGUAAGAUUGUUUGGCUCUUAUGCCAUAGAUUGUUGAUUUCAUUUCUUAAAGAAGCCUUUUUUUUUGUUUUUUGUGAAUCAGUUGUCCAUUUAUUUUCCUCUGAUGAAGUAUACAUUGUGCUUUUCCAAGAGAAAGUAGAAGACACAAAAACUGAGUUCACAGUAGUAAUAACAUUAAAACAACCCUAAAUGUGUGUAGAAAUUUCAUUGGAUUGUCAAUUUGUGGGGUAAAAAAAUGGUAUGCCUGCACACUUUGUAUUUGAAA
Non-coding RNA from Oryctolagus cuniculus (rabbit), 3677 nucleotides. Lineage: Eukaryota; Metazoa; Chordata; Mammalia; Lagomorpha; Leporidae. The record is from RefSeq and is a predicted model, not a curated record.